GAACGCCGGAUGCGGUGAAAGUCGCAUGUCCGGUGUGGACGGGGGGAAAGGGCGUAAGCUCCUACCUAUCCGUAC
Non-coding RNA from Ktedonobacter racemifer DSM 44963, 75 nucleotides. NCBI's taxonomy places the organism in Bacteria, Bacillati, Chloroflexota, Ktedonobacteria, Ktedonobacterales, Ktedonobacteraceae. The record is from Rfam.